This 442-nucleotide ribosomal RNA is filed under the name uncultured bacterium. RNAcentral's name for it is "bacterial SSU rRNA". It matches the Rfam family "Bacterial small subunit ribosomal RNA", at positions 338 to 795 of the family's 1533-position model. The record is from RNAcentral.
CCUACGGGUGGCUGCAGUGGGGAAUAUUGCGCAAUGGGGGGAACCCUGACGCAGCGACGCCGCGUGAAGGAAGAAGGUUUUCGGAUCGUAAACUUCUUUGACUGGGGAAGAAUAUAUGACGGUACCCAGAGAACAAGCCACGGCUAACUACGUGCCAGCAGCCGCGGUAAUACGUAGGUGGCGAGCGUUGUCCGGAAUUACUGGGUGUAAAGGGCGUGUAGGCGGGGGUGCAAGUCAGAUGUGAAAACCCAAGGCUCAACUUUGGGAUUGCAUCUGAAACUGUAUCUCUUGAGUACUGGAGAGGGAAGCGGAAUUCCUAGUGUAGCGGUGAAAUGCGUAGAGAUUAGGAGGAACACCAGUGGCGAAGGCGGCUUCCUGGACAGAGACUGACGCUGAGGCGCGAAAGCGUGGGUAGCGAACAGGAUUAGAUACCCGUGUAGUC